CACGCGUCCACCGUCCCCACGACUUUUUUACAGCUGUUUCUCACACGCAGAAUUUUUCUAUAAACAGCAGUUGAAAUCCAGCUUAUCAAGAUUUUUGUUUUGCUUCUGUCUUUAUUGAAUUCUCAAGAAAGUCCUAGAAUCUUGUUCUUUGCACAAAAAGAUCGAAUCUUUACACACACCCAUCAAAGAAUAACGAAGUAUUUUCAGUUUCCAUCGCUCAAUUUCCAGUUUUUUUGUUUAGAUUUUGCUAAAAAUGGGAGCUGAAGCUGAGGUUAUGGUUCAACUUCAACAUACCAUCCCUGUGUUGGAUGUCCCCUGUUGUUCUGAUUUGGAUGUCAAAUCACCAGAGUCGACAAUAUUGCAAUUCAUUCCUAGCAUUCGCUCAGGUAGCUUUGCUGAUACUGGCCCACGUAGGUUCAUGGAAGAUGAACAUAUAAGGAUAGAUGAUCUAUCUGCACAUCUUGGCUCACUCAUGAAAUUUCCGAAGCCCAGUGCUUUCUAUGGGGUAUUUGAUGGUCAUGGAGGACCGGAAGCUGCAGCUCAUGUGAGAAAAAAUGUACUCAGAUUGUUAUUUUCAGACACCAAUUUUCCAGAGACUUCAGAAGUUGAUGAUGCAUUUCUAGAAGGGGUGGAGAGUUCUCUUAGGAAGGGGUUUCUUCUGGCUGACCUCGCUUUAGCUGAUGACUGCAAUGUUAGCAGUUCUUCUGGAACCACUGCCCUGACAGCUCUUGUGUUGGGAAGGCUAUUAAUGGUGGCAAAUGCAGGAGACUGCCGAGCAGUCCUUUGCCGUAACGGAGAGGCAAUUGACAUGUCUCAAGACCAUAGACCAAAUUAUCCAUCGGAGAGGAGGCGUGUUGAAGAGUUAGGUGGAUUUAUUGAUGAUGGCUAUCUGAAUGGUAUACUAUCAGUGACCAGGGCCUUGGGGGACUGGGACAUGAAGCUGCCUCGUGGCUCUGCGUCUCCUCUGAUUGCUGAGCCAGAAUUUCGACAAAUAGUUCUGACAGAGGAGGAUGAAUUCCUUAUUAUUGCUUGUGAUGGAAUCUGGGAUGUCUUGUCUAGUCAACAAGCAGUUAGCCUAGUGCGUCGAGGUCUAAGACGGCAUGAUGAUCCUGAACAGUGUGCCAAGGACCUUGUCAUGGAGGCGUUGCGGCUGAAUACAUUUGACAAUCUCACAGUAAUUGUUGUAUGCUUUACUUCCCCUGAUCAUCAAGAGCUAUCACCAAUGCGUCAAAGGAGAUUAAGGAGCUGCAGCUUCUCUGCAGAAGCCUUGUAUAGCUUGCAGAGCUGGUUAGACAACAAAGGGAGCCAUUGACGGCGGCGGUGCAAGCUGUUUGCAUCUGCUUCAUUUGGGCAGAAUAAAGAGCAGCUAUAGUUUUGGUAGUAUGAUCUUCUCUUCUUGCUUUUAUAUUUGGGUGGAUGUAUGUACAUACCAUUCGUUGGUGAGUUGGGAGCUACACUGACUUUUAGUUUAUUGUGGCUGUUAGCGUAAUGGCCGUGUUUAUGUAAAACCCAUUCUAUUAGUUGUACAUAAUGAAAACUUGGUACUUGUUGCUCCGUAUAGUAACUUGGUACAAA
This 1575-nucleotide unclassified non-coding RNA is filed under the name Hevea brasiliensis (rubber tree). Lineage: Eukaryota; Viridiplantae; Streptophyta; Magnoliopsida; Malpighiales; Euphorbiaceae. The record is from RNAcentral.